CCUACGGGAGGCAGCAGUGAGGAAUAUUGGUCAAUGGGCGAGAGCCUGAACCAGCCAAGUCGCGUGAGGGAGUACUGCCCUAUGGGUUGUAAACCUCUUUUGUCGGGGAGCAAAAGCCGGACGUGUCCGGCUGUGAGAGUACCCGAAGAAAAAGCAUCGGCUAACUCCGUGCCAGCAGCCGCGGUAAUACGGAGGAUGCGAGCGUUAUCCGGAUUUAUUGGGGUUAAAGGGUGCGCAGGCGGAUUUUUAAGUCAGCGGUCAAAUCGUGGGGCUCAACCCCAUCCCGCCGUUGAAACUGGGGAUCUAGAGUUUGUGAGAGGUAUGCGGAAUGCGUGGUGUAGCGGUGAAAUGCAUAGAUAUCACGCAGAACCCCGAUUGCGAAGGCAGCAUACCGGUGCACAACUGACGCUCAGGCACGAAAGCGUGGGUAUCGAACAGGAUUAGAUACCCCUGUAGUC
This 458-nucleotide ribosomal RNA is filed under the name uncultured bacterium. RNAcentral's name for it is "partial 16S ribosomal RNA". It matches the Rfam family "Bacterial small subunit ribosomal RNA", at positions 338 to 795 of the family's 1533-position model. The record is from RNAcentral.